Molecule: long non-coding RNA, 425 nt
Organism: Ostrea edulis (European flat oyster)
Lineage: Eukaryota; Metazoa; Mollusca; Bivalvia; Ostreida; Ostreidae
Exons: 3
Source: RefSeq, a predicted model, not a curated record
AGUAAACUGCAUCAAAAUCUCGUGUCGUCAAAGGUUUGCAAAAUUCGAUAAGUUGUGAUACACGCCUUGAUUUAACAACUAUCAAACUCUCGCGAUGAAUGAACAGCGAUUUUUAUGAACGAUUUGACAUAUAAGCGAUAAUAAUUAGAGAUUUUUAUAACACUUCAGACAAUACUUGACUGCGACAAACUAUGAUUCGGUGACUGGGAAUUUCCAGCGAAAUUUUAAACUAAAUAUUUGUAGUGCUAUAUUGGAAUUUUAAAAACUUGAUCUGGACAUGAACUUUCGUUUGUGCUUUGUCCUCCUUUUGGAACUCCUCAUGUUUACGGAACAGUAUUAUGCCCAGGAUGCGGAAGAAUAUUAUACCUAUAACGAGGGCCUACCUAGUCCCAUUCUCAAGAAGGCGAUCAAUAAUUUGGUGGUAA